RNAcentral lists this ribosomal RNA (917 nucleotides) under uncultured archaeon. RNAcentral describes it as "bacterial SSU rRNA". It matches the Rfam family "Archaeal small subunit ribosomal RNA", at positions 4 to 922 of the family's 1478-position model. The record is from RNAcentral.
CUGGUUGAUCCUGCCAGAGGUUACUGCUAUCGAGAUUCGACUAAGCCAUGCGAGUCGAAUGUUCUUCGUGAACAUGGCGGACUGCUCAGUAACACGUGGACAACCUACCCUUGGGUCUGGCAUAAUCCUGGGAAACUGGGUAUAAUUCCAGAUAGGUCACAGAUGCUGGAAUGCACUGUGGCCGAAAGCUCCGGCGCCCAAGGAUGGGUCUGCGGCCUAUCAGGGUUGUAGUGGGUGUAACGGACCUACUAGCCUACGACGGGUACGGGUUGUGAGAGCAAGAGCCCGGAGAUGGAUUCUGAGACACGAAUCCAGGCCCUACGGGGUGCAGCAGGCGCGAAAACUUUACAAUGCGGGAAACCGUGAUAAGGGAAUCUCGAGUGCCAGCAUAUAAUGUUGGCUGUCCAGAUGCCUAAAAAGCAUCUGUUAGCAAGGGCCGGGCAAGACCGGUGCCAGCCGCCGCGGUAACACCGGCGGCCCGAGUGGUAACCGCUUUUAUUGGGUCUAAAGGGUCUGUAGCCGACCAAGUAAGUCCCUUGGGAAAUCUGGCAGCUUAACUGUCAGGCUGCUAGGGGAUACUGCUAGGCUUGGGACCGGGAGAGGUGAGAGGUACCUUGGGGGUAGGGGUGAAAUCUUGUAAUCCCUGUGGGACCACCUGUGGCGAAGGCGUCUUACCAGAACGGGUUCGACGGCGAGGGACGAAAGCUGGGGGCACGAACCGGAUUAGAUACCCGGGUAGUCCCAGCCGUAAACGAUGCUCGCUAGGUGUCAGGCAUGGCGCGACCGUGUCUGGUGCCGCAGGGAAGCCGUGAAGCGAGCCACCUGGGAAGUACGGCCGCAAGGCUGAAACUUAAAGGAAUUGGCGGGGGAGCACAACAACGGGUGGAGCCUGCGGUUUAAUUGGAUUCAACGCCGGA